This 7317-nucleotide long non-coding RNA is filed under the name Homo sapiens (human). RNAcentral's name for it is "HSALNT0303813". Lineage: Eukaryota; Metazoa; Chordata; Mammalia; Primates; Hominidae. The record is from RNAcentral.
CACUUACAAAUGUAAAGACUGAAAUGAUUUUGCUGUUUAAAUAUCAGUCCCAUUUGGAGCCAGCAAUCACAGAAGUCGACUAUGUGCUUAAAAAAAAUCAAUACAUUCCUAGGGUGAUGAUAAGUUAGAAGGGUCGUAAAUUACACGCAUGGCUUACGAGAAAUGGAUGGGGAGGUUUGCCCAGUAUAUUGACUAUUUUGUCUUUGAAACGUAGCCAUCAAUUAUGAUGGCCCCUUGUGCAGAAGAAGCCAGAUUUAUGACUGUGAUUGGAAAGGAGGAGUAAGUACAAGCUUUUACUGAGCUUUGACUUGGGGCCAGAAAUUGGUAAGUCACUUUCACACUCAUAAUGUCUUUUGGCUUUAUGUGUGAGUAAAGUAGGUGGCUCUAUAUCUCUGUGCUUUUCAGCUCAACAGAGCCAAAAGAGAUGAGGAAAGGUGGUGUCGUGGGAAGUCCAGCAGCAUCAGCCAGCUGAGCAUAGCCACAAGGCUGCUGCUCUCAGAAGGCCAGGCUGCCUUAGGAGCUGUAUUAUGAGAAAAUAAAAAUGUUCACUAUUUUGGCCUCUGGAGAGACAACUCUUGAUUUCUCAGAUUUGUACUGUUUCCCAUUUGAAUAAUAUACACCGGGUCUUACAGAUAGUUUGCUAACUUUCCUUUCAUGAAAUUUCAGCUUGGGUGCAGGUGCCAUGGUUUUGAAUCAGAAAAAACUGGAUUCAGAAUUUUGUUUUUCCUUUAGAAUCUUAAAUAAAAUAAGGAUAUUUUUAAGUAAAUUAUAGUUUUAAAAAGUGCUUCACUCACUUGUGUGUGUGUGUGUGUUUUUCAUUAUGAAACAGCUAUGCCUCUAGCCACCUUUAUUUUAGAAAGAGAACUUGAGCAUUCCCCAGGGAUGGCGGCGGCUGCUCUGGAAGGACUACAUUGCUAAGAGCUGGUGGAUACCUCACUCUUCUGUGUCUCAGUUUUCUCGUCAUAUCUUUUAAAAUGAGAGGGGUGGGUUAAAGUUUUUUUUUCUUAAAGGUUGUUAACUACUGUCUAGGAAAUUGACUAGAAAUUGGGACAUUUUCUGUGAAUUUCUGUGGCCAAAUGUAACCAUGUUUAAAAAGGGAAUAUUGCCUUUAUAGAGGCUCAGGCCCUUAAGACUAUUAUUUUAACUUUUGAGUAGAUAGUACAUUCCCAUAGUUCAAAAAACUAUGUGUAUAUAUAUAUAUAUACAUACACACACAUAAAUAUAUAUAGAAUCUAUAUAUCUACAUAUAUAAACAUACGUGUGUGUAUGUGUGUGUGUGUAUGUGUUUAGGUAUGUGCAUGAAAAAGUUUUCUUCUACUCUGGCCCCAUCUUACCAUCACCUAUAUAUUUGAAUGUAGCAACAUUUAUUAGUGUCUUGUUUAUCCUCCAAGGGCUUCUCUGUGAAUAUAAAAGCAAAUAAUAAUAUAUUUUCUUAUCUCACUUUUACACAAAGUAUAAUGUACUCCGUUUUGUACCUUUUUUUAUUAAUAAUCAUAUUUUUGAAAUUUUUCCCACCAAUACCUGAGGACCUUCCACAUUGUUUUAUAUAGCUACAUAGUAUAGAUCCUCAAUUCCUUAUCUGCAUUUCAGGAAAACAUACCGAAAUUUUAAAUGGCUCAGUAUUCCACUUCUACAUAUCUACAAUAUCCAAGAAUAGUGUGUACAAGACAUUGGCUACAAAACAUGUAUUAGAUAUUCCUAGCAGCACUAUUCAUAAAGCCGAACAGUGAAAAUUCCCCAAAUGUCCCUCAAUAGCAGAAAGGAUAAAUAAAUUUCUGUAUAACCAUAUAAUGCAAUACCAUGGGGCAAUUAGGAUGAACAAUCUAUAAUUAUACAAAACAAUUUGGAUGUAUCUUACAGACACAAAGUUGAUUGAGAGAAACAAGACAUAAGACAGUAGAUAUGUUGAUUCCAUUUAUGUAGAGUACAGAAAGAGGCCAAAUUUGUUCACAUAUUUGAAGUCAAGGCACCAUGGAAGAAAACACGGGGAGUAUCUUCCAGGAUGCUGACAAUAUACUAUUUUCUGGUCUGGACUCUGGAUGCACUAAUGUAUUCAGUUAUUGAAAAUUCAUUAAGCACUUUACAUUUGCCAUUUGUGGACUUUUCUGUAUGUAUGUUACAUUUUAACAAAAAGUUUUUUAAAAAUAGAAAAAAGUAAAAGCACUGAAAGCAAAGUAUUUUUAUUGCUGAUUUGAUAAAUGUUGAGGUUUUUAAUUGCGUCCUGAGCAAAUUACCGCAAAUCAGACCCUUAAAACAGUACACAUUUAUUAUCAUAGUUCUGUGGGUUAGAUAGCCAGGUACACUGUGGAUUAUUGGUUCUCUGCUUCAGGUCUCGCUAGGAAAAAUUCAGUGUCUCCUUUCUGGAGGCUGUAGGAGAGACUCUGCUUUCAAGCUUAUUCAGGUCUGGAGGCUGUAGGAGAGACUCCGCUUUCCAGCUUAUUCAGGUUGUUGGCAGAACUCUGUUCCUUGGUGGUGGGGAUGUCACCUCAGUUUCCUUGUUAGUUGUCCGCUUCUCUCAGCUUCUCAAAGACACCUGCAUUUCUUUUUGCCCCCUUCACCCUUUAGCCAGCAAUGGUGCAUAAAGCCCUUCUCUGACUUUCCUUCUUCCACAUCUCUCUUCCUCUUCUGUCUUCUCCUUCCAGCCAGAGACAGCUCUCUGUUUCUAAUGAUUUAUGCAAUUAAUUAGAUUGGGUGUACCCAGAAAAUCUAUGAUAAUCUCCUCAUUUCAGUGUCCAUAAUGAUAAUUGCAUCUGUAAAAUUUCUUUUGUCAAUGUAGCUCAAUGUGUGCAACUUAAUAUAAUAACUCCAAAACUCAUAGGUUCCAGGAAUUAGGGCAUAGGCAUAUUUGAGUGGCCAUUAUUUUGCCUACCCCAGUGAUACAAUCUCACCCUGUCUGAACUGAACUGGCCUGACCUGAAGUAAGUAUACUUAUGUUUUUUCUAUAUAUAAUGCCACCGAAUGUGAUUUUUCAAACAUGAUGCAAAAUGUUGAUGCAGUUGGUAAAUAGGUGCUAUCCCAAACCCUUCUGGAAGUGUGAUGUAAUAUGCUAUCACCAUAUUAUCUUUCAGUAAAAGAAUUCUGAAUUCCGAAACACUUCUGGCUCAGGGACUGUUGACUCAUAUUGUACUAGCUGGAGAUAUCAUGGUGCAGUGGAUCACGCCUGUAAUCCCAGCAUUUUGGGAGACAGAGGCGGGUGGAUCACUUGAGGCCAAGAGUUCAAGACCAGCCUGGCCAAAAUGGGGAAACCUCCUCUCUUUGAAAAACACAAAAAUUAGCCCAGCAUAGUGGCGCAUGCCUGUAGUCCCAGCUACUCAGGAGGCUGACAGGAGAAUCGCUUGAACCCCAGAGGUGGAGGUUGCAGUGAGCAGAGAUUGCACCACUGCACUCCUGCACUCCAGCCUGGGUGACACCAAAAAAAGAAGAAGAAAGACGAAAGAAGAAGAAAGAAGAAAGAAGGAAACUAUUUCCAUUACUGUGAACAGCCUGUUCAUAUUGAGUUGUUGGUCUUAAAAAUCAAUUUAUAGAAAAUCAUUACAUAUUUGUGUAUAUUUUUGGCAUAAGUUAAAAUGUUUGUUCCUAGUUUUGUCUUUGGACUUAGCUUUUUAAAAAUAUUUUGCAUUAUAGAAGUGUUUUAUUAGGUGUAAAGGAUGUUAUUAAUACUUUCUUUUAUAGUUUAUAAGUUUAAGCCACAUUUUCAAAGGCCUUCAAUAGAGCACUUUUGUUUAUGAAUUAUCUAAGUUCCAAUUCUGACCAUAUCAUUUCAUUAAUAAUAACAUAGAGGAGCUGGUUACCUCCCAGUAAAGGCCUUCAUAUCCUAUAUGAAUUAACAUAUUAAGAUUUUCUAAUCUGUAUAUUCAUAAAUCCUACAGCUAAUGGAUGGGUGUAGCCAGGGAAGUGGGGUCACCAAUUAUAUAUAGUACCAACAUAGUAGGAUUCAUUAAGUAUUAAAAUCCUGAAACUAGAUUGUAUUUGUUCACAUUAUAGGGGUAUAUCUGUCAACGUGAUCUUCUUCACUCAAAGGAUAAGUCUUUGUCUAGAUAUAGCAAUUGUACUCAGAUGAGAUCCUUGUUCCAGGUCUGAUUUUCAGUCCUGCACUGAGCAGCUGCCAUAGAAAGACAGAAAGCAUUGAUAAGAGCUUUUUUGAUGUUAUAAAACUUAAGAAAAUAAUGGAGAAUUAGCAGGUAUCACAAGACAAGAGAAAGGAAAAAAUAAGGGCUGAAUAUUGGAGAGAAUUAGGAGGUGUCAAAGGAGGUAAAUAAAAGAAUUAAUGGACUAGAAGGAGGAACAAUCCUAGGGAAUUAGCUUAUGUUAGAUUGGGAGGUAAGAAGAAAAAGGGGGGAUACAAUCGAGAAGAAGUAACACAUGUCGUAAAGGAGAUACAAUGAGAGAAAAGAGGGAAGAAAAACUCAGAACCUGAAUUUAUCUAGAAUUUAGGUCUGACAUUAGACAUGGAUCUAGACCUGGAUGUUGGACGGGUGCCCCAGUCAUGAACCUGAAAUGGACCUAGGGUAUGUAUAUUGGAUCUUGACUAUGGACAUGGACCAUGAACCUAUACUGAAUAAGGACAUUGGAAUUGGACCUCGGACCUUUUAUACUUACCUUGAACCACGAUUUCAAACUUAGACAUCAGAUGGAGACCUGGAUCUCAGACCUUGGUGUAAGCCUUGACCGUGUACUUUAACUUGAAUUUAGCACCUGAACUUGGACACUGGAACUGGAUGUGGGGCCUAAAACUUGACACUGUAUUCAUCCAGAACCUCGAAUCUGACCUUAAUUAUGCUCCAUGGUUGUGCACUUGGGCUUUAGUCACUGAGAUUGGACCUAGACAACUAAUCAUAAACUUGAAUCUCAGAUCUUGACCUGCACCUGACCUUAGACCUGGAAUUUCAACACAAACCUCAAUCCUAGACAUAGAUGUGAACCUGAACCUUAAAACUAUGCUCUUGACCCUGGAUCUUUACCUUAUCUUGGACAUUGAAUCUUGAACAUGGAAAUGAAUUUGACCUAGAUGUUAGAACUGAUAUUAGACCUGGACCUUGAACGUGGACAAUAUCUUGAAUUAUGGGAAUGUACCUUGGACUUUGACCUUGGAUGUAGUCUUUAUCCUUAGACAUAGACUUUGGGCCAGCCCUUAGAACUGGACCUAGCCUUCACUUUGUCAUAGAUGUUGACUGUGGACCUCAGAUCUUCACAUGAACUUUGAAAAAAUAUAUUUUUACUUUUAAUUCUUAUGGAUACAUACUAAUAGCCCAUAUUUAUGGGGUACAUGUGACAGCCUGAUACAAGGUUACAGUGUGUAAUGAUCAAAUCAGGGUAAUUGGGGAAUCCAUAACCUCAAGCGUUUAUCAUUUCUUUGUGUUAGGAACACUUCAGUUUUAAUCUUUUAGUUAUUGUAAAAUAAACAAUAAAUUACUGUUAACUGUAGCCACCAUAAUGUACUACCAAACACUAGAUGCUAUUCUUUCUACCAACUGUGUUUUUGUAUCCAUCAACUAUCCCUUCUUUAUCCCCCUUUCCUCACUAUUCUUUCCAGUCUCUGGCAACCAUCAUUCUACUGUCUAUCUUUGUUAGUUGAAUAUUUUUUUUAGCUCUGAUAUACUAGUGAGAACAUGUGAUAUUUGUCUUUCUGUUCCUGGCUUAUUCAACUUAAUAUAAUUUCCUCCAGUUCCAUCCAUGUUGUUGCAAAUGGCAAGACUGCAUUCCUUUCGAUGGCUGAAUAAUAAUCUAUUGUGUACAUAUGCCACAUUUUUGUUGUUUUUCAUUCACUCGUUGAUGGACACUUGGAUUGAGUAUAUAUCUUGGCUAUUGUGAAUUGUUCUGCAAUAAACAUGGGAGGGCAGGUAUUUCUUCAAUAUACUAAUUUAUUUUAUUUAGGGUAUAUACCCAGUGGUGGGAUCCCAGUAGCUGGAUCAUACAACAGUUCUAAUUUUAGUUCUCUGAGGAAUCUCCAUACUGUUCUCCAUAGUGGCUGUACUAGUUUACAUUCCCACCAACAGUAUAUGGGGAUCUUUCUUUCUCCACAUGAUCACCAGCAUUUGUUAUCUUUUUGGAUAAAACUGUUUUAACUGGGGUAAGAUGAUCUCUCAUUGCAGUUUUGAUUUGUAUUUCUCUGAUGAUUAAUGAUGUUGAGCAUUUUUGCAUAUACCUGUUGGCCAUUUGUAUGUUUCCUUUUGAGAAAUGUCUAUUCAUAUCUUUUGCCAUUUUAAAAUUGGAUUAUUUGUUUUUAUUCCUGAGUUGUUUGAGCUCCUUAUUUAUUCUGAGUAUUUAUUACCUGUCAGAUGGGUAAUUUGCAAAUAUGUUCUCCCAUUUUAUGGGUUUUCUCUUCAGCUUGUUGACUGUUUUCUUUUCUGUGCAGAAGCUGUUUAACUUGAUAUAAUUCCAUUUGGACAUGAACUUUGAACCUAGAUUUUGGACCUGCAUUUUUUCAGUUCCUUAAAUAUACUUUCCAUUGCAACUAGGAUUUUAUUUGAAUAGGUGGUAAGAAGUUACUUUGAAGAAGUGCCUGAAAUUGACUUUCUUUGUUUAUAUGCUGCUUAUUUCCACAAACGCUGCUUUGAUUCAUUUUAACUUGUUCUAUCUGGAAUAAAGUACAUUUGAGAUGAAAGUGUUUUUCUGAACUAUUUUGCUGACAGAUGCUUAAUCUGGUUUCAUUCACUAAACACCUGUUUCUCAUUCCAAAUGGAACAAAAAUUAUCAAAAUCAGUGCCCUUUAGAAUCAGAUCAACUCAUUUUCUCACUGCUACCACCAGGUACAUUCUGUUUUAUGCUCUCAAAAAUCCCUAUACAUCUGUCUUUCAGAGCGCUCCUCAUUCUGUAAUUAAUUGAGCUAUUAUUUCAUUAAUUUAUUAAUUAUGGGGUACAUGUGAUAGCCUGAUACAAGGUUACAGUGUGUAAUGAUCAAAUCAAGGUAAUUGGGGAAUCCAUAACCUCAAGCUUUAAUCAUUUCUUUGUGUUAGGAACACUUCAGUUUUAAUCUUUUAGUUAUUUUAAAAUAAACAAUAAAUUACUGUUAACUGUAGUCACCAUAAUGUACUACCAAACACUAGAUGCUAUUCCUUUUACCAACUGUGUUUUUGUAUCCAUCAACCACCCCUUCUUUAUCCCCUCAUUUUCUGUAUAGCAGGUAUUAGCAAACUAUAGUCAGUUGGCCAAAUUUGUCCCGUUUUUCUGUUUGUAUAUGGCUUAUGAACUUAGAAUAAAUUAUUCUAUUUGUAUAUGUUGGAAAAUAAUUAAAAGAAGAGAAAACAUUUUGUGACACAUGAAAUUACAUAAAAUUUGAAUUUCUGUGUCCAUAAUUAAUGUCUAACUACAACACAA